GGAAUUUGUUAGCCUUACGGCUGACAUGUGGUCUUCCAUUAAUAUGGAUGGAUAUCUUGGUGUAACAUGCCAUUACAUAACACCAGAGGCAACAAUGGCAACUGUUUUACUGGGUGUAAGGAGGUUUUACCAAACCCACACAGCCCAGCAUCUCAUGGAGGCUAAAGCCUUGCUAAUGGCUGAGUGGGGAAUAACCUCCAAAGUUCACUGCAUGGUGACUGACAAUGCAUCCAACAUGAUCCUAAGUGCCCAGCUACUCAACCUUCGCCAUGUCCCAUGUUUUGCUCAUAAUUUGAAUUUGAUAGUGAAAAAGGCCCUGGAUCAAACCCCAGUCAUCAAUGAAAUUCGCCAGAAAGCCAGAAAGAUAGUGGGGUUGUUCAGAUCCAGCUGCAAAGCAAAGGACAAGCUUGUGGAGAUGCAGAGCUUGAUGGGCAGACCAAGUCUGAAAAUGAUACAGGAGGUUGAAACGAGAUGGAACAGCACAUUCGACAUGCUACAACGCUUGUAUGAGCAACGUGAGCCAGUGGCUGCUGCACUUGCCAAUUUAAACAGUGAUACUGCUCCCCUGACAAGUCUUGAGUAUGACAUUAUUCAACAGUCAUUGACACUUCUUCAACCAUUCAAACUAGCAACAACAGAGAUGUCAGAGGAACAGAGAGUGUCUGCUUCAAAGCUCAUACCAUUGUACAGGAUGUUGCAGCACAAGCUUGCACAGAAAAAGGAAAUGCAACGCAGGAAUCAACUGUACAAUUAGGCUCACAUCUACAAGAAGGUCUGCACUCCAGAUGUGGAGGGUACGAGACUUUUAGAGCCUUGGCACUGGCUACACUGCUGGACCCAAGGUUUAAAAAUGUGGCUUUUGGAAAUCCUGCCAAAGCCCUGGAUGCUGAAAAGCACAUCACACUGGAGUGUGCUUCACUGAUGCGUUCAAACACAACUCCUGAACCACAAAUGUCAACAUCAGGCCCAUCAUCAACACCAGUUGAAACACAAGACAGUUUAUGGGAACAUUUUGACAAUCGUAUCCGUGAGACCCAGAUGAUACACAAUCCUACAGCUGAUGCCACAGUGGAAGUGAAAAAAUACCUCA
Molecule: long non-coding RNA, 1090 nt
Organism: Xyrauchen texanus (razorback sucker)
Lineage: Eukaryota; Metazoa; Chordata; Actinopteri; Cypriniformes; Catostomidae
Exons: 3
Source: RefSeq, a predicted model, not a curated record